RNAcentral lists this ribosomal RNA (497 nucleotides) under uncultured bacterium. RNAcentral's name for it is "partial 16S ribosomal RNA". It matches the Rfam family "Bacterial small subunit ribosomal RNA", at positions 28 to 507 of the family's 1533-position model. The record is from RNAcentral.
GAUGAACGCUGGCGGCGUGCCUAAUACAUGCAAGUCGAGCGAACAGACGAGGAGCUUGCUCCUCUGACGUUAGCGGCGGACGGGUGAGUAACACGUGGAUAACCUACCUAUAAGACUGGGAUAACUUCGGGAAACCGGAGCUAAUACCGGAUAAUAUAUUGAACCGCAUGGUUCAAUAGUGAAAGACGGUUUUGCUGUCACUUAUAGAUGGAUCCGCGCCGCAUUAGCUAGUUGGUAAGGUAACGGCUUACCAAGGCGACGAUGCGUAGCCGACCUGAGAGGGUGAUCGGCCACACUGUAACUGAGACACGUUCCAGACUCCUACGGGAGGCAGCAGUAGGGAAUCUUCCGCAAUGGGCGAAAGCCUGACGGAGCAACGCCGCGUGAGUGAUGAAGGUCUUCUGAUCGUAAAACUCUGUUAUUAGGGAAGAACAAAUGUGUAAGUAACUAUGCACGUCUUGACGGUACCUAAUCAGAAAGCCACGGCUAACUACGUG